UAAGACGAACCGUGCGAACGUUGUUCGGAUUCACUGGGCUUAAAGGGCGCGUAGGCGGGCCAUCAAGUCAGGGGUGAAAUCUUUCGGCUCAACCGGAAAAGUGCCUUUGAUACUGGUGGUCUCGAGGGAGGUAGGGGCAUGCGGAACUUCCGGUGGAGCGGUGAAAUGCGUAGAUAUCGGAAGGAACGCCGGUGGCGAAAGCGGCGUGCUGGACCUCUUCUGACGCUGAGGCGCGAAAGCUAGGGGAGCAAACGGGAUUAGAUACCCCGGUAGUCCUAGCCCUAAACGAUGAGCACUAGAUUGUAGAUCGACAUGGGUUUACAGUCGAAGCAAAAGUGUUAAGUGCUCCGCCUGGGGAGUAUGGUCGCAAGGCUG
Molecule: ribosomal RNA, 375 nt
Filed under: uncultured bacterium
Lineage: Bacteria
Description: bacterial SSU rRNA
Rfam family: Bacterial small subunit ribosomal RNA
Source: RNAcentral